GUCAAUGAGAACCCCGAGAGAUUUAGACUUGUCCCCCCACAGCAGGAUGGCAUGGAGAGGGGUGCGAGUAAGGGGAGAAGAAAAAUUAUCUGUAUGGCCCAGCAGAGUACCUACUGAUGAGCCUGGUCUCUUUAAAGGACAGGUAGAACAUAAUGAUUGGCAGUUCCGCAACACAGACAACUCUGGGUGUUAAGUCUGUGUAAGCAUUCAGCUGGAGAUAGCCUAGCUCUGCCGAGUUGCAUCGGCUCCGAAAAAGGCGAGUCGGCAGACCUCCUCUCCCUCCUACAUUCCCGUAGCUGCCUAUCAAGCUGGAUGGUCAAGGCGAUGAGUGAAUCAAGAGCCGUAGGCAGCUCCCGGGCUGCAAACUCGUCCUUAAUCUCCUCUGAUAAUCCAUGAAGGAAUGUGUCGAACAGGGAUUCAGGUUCCAGGCACUCUCGGCAGCCAAUGUGCGGAAAUCAACCACAUAGUCUGUCACACUGUGGGAGUCCUGGCGAAGCUGGAGUAACUUCCGGGCAGCAUCUCUCUCGGACAACGGAGAAUCGAAAACCUUUUUCACCUCAGCCAUGAACUCCUCCAGGCUGAAACACGCGGCAGAUUGUUGUUCCCACAUCGCCGUAGCCCAGGUGGGAGCCCUCCCGGACAUUAGCGUUAUGAGACAGGCUAUCUUCGAGCAGUCCAAGGGGAAGGACGAGGGCUGCAGCUCGAAGAUGAGGGAACACUGGGAGAGAAAUGCCCAACAGGUUCCUGACCCUCCAGUGAAGCGUUCCGGAGGAGAUGUGAACAGCUGUCGUCCCACCUGUGCAUAGCUGCACAGAGGCCAAGCAGCAGUGGCAUAAGCCAAGGACUAUGGGUCUGAAACCUGGGCCCAUAGGCAAAAUGGCCAUCACCAAGCCCACCAAAAGCACAUGGCAAAAGGAGGGAUUAGGUGGUUUCAAGUACAUUGUUUAGAUUGGCUAACCACAGUGGCUGCUUUGCAGAAGUACACUACAGCGCCCUUCUUGGAACGCUCCCUGACUUCUCAGUUCUCCAGAUAGAAGAGACAUACAAUAACUUUAACCCUCUAUCCAAGCCAUUGAUCUGCAACAUGGGGAAGUCUGCUGAAAAGCUUUUAGUCGACUCCCACUUUGGAAAGGUACAGGUGGGGAACCUCCUGUCUUACCAGCAGCCUCCAAUCCCAACGUGACACAUAGUUCACCAUAAGGAGAGCCCACCAUUCCCCUCACUGCCCCUAAAUGGCUACGGACUGAGGAGAGAAACUUUCAAAGCUGCACAUUUGUGUUCAGUGAAGAAGACCAGCUUCACAUAGUCUCUUCGGGUGAGCUUCGCAACAGCCCAUAAAAUAGAGGAAGCUGCUAGAAAACAGAGUGCUGUCUCUGACUGGCAGGUGCUCUGGAAACCAAGACUGACCACGUCACGGUUCCGAGAGGCUUGCCAUGAGAGAGGGCUGACAUCCGCAGGCAAUCUAGCUGAAAGGAUCCUCUAAGACACAGCACCAAAACCUGACAUGAAGAGAGGACUGGAGUUGGAGAUGGAAGCAGCCAAUGACUACUUGAAGAUGC
This 1559-nucleotide long non-coding RNA is filed under the name Salmo salar (Atlantic salmon). Its description in RNAcentral is "lncRNA (ENSSSAG00000089383.1, ENSSSAG00000110818.1)". The record is from RNAcentral. Lineage: Eukaryota; Metazoa; Chordata; Actinopteri; Salmoniformes; Salmonidae.